GCUUGCCUGGCUCAGUUGGUUAGAGCGCGAGUCUCAUAUUAGUCUAUGCGGAUGAUUAUAUCAUCUUGAUCUCGAGGUCGCAAGUUCGAUCCUUGCGGCGAGCA
Armillaria mellea is the source of this 104-nucleotide non-coding RNA. The record is from the annotation of a GenBank genome assembly. NCBI's taxonomy places the organism in Eukaryota, Fungi, Basidiomycota, Agaricomycetes, Agaricales, Physalacriaceae.